This 161-nucleotide unclassified non-coding RNA is filed under the name uncultured Sordariomycetes. RNAcentral describes it as "sequence contains ITS1". The record is from RNAcentral. Lineage: Eukaryota; Fungi; Ascomycota; Sordariomycetes.
CCGAGUUUACAACUCCCAAACCCCUGUGAACAUACCUUCUGUUGCUUCGGCGGGAUCGCCCCGGCUGCCCUGCGCGCCGGAACCAGGCCCCCGCCGCAAGACCUGAAACUCUGUUUUUACUUCAGUAUCUUCUGAGUGGCUUAAAAAGCAAAAAUAAAUUA